AUUGAACGCUGGCGGCAUGCCUUACACAUGCAAGUCGAACGGUAACAGGUUAAGCUGACGAGUGGCGAACGGGUGAGUAAUGUAUCGGAACGUGCCCAGUCGUGGGGGAUAACUGCUCGAAAGAGCAGCUAAUACCGCAUACGACCUGAGAGUGAAAGCGGGGGAUCGCAAGACCUCGCGCGAUUGGAGCGGCCGAUAUCAGAUUAGGUAGUUGGUGAGGUAAAGGCGCACCAAGCCGACGAUCUGUAGCUGGUCUGAGAGGACGACCAGCCACACUGGGACUGAGACACGGCCCAGACUCCUACGGGAGGCAGCAGUGGGGAAUUUUGGACAAUGGGCGCAAGCCUGAUCCAGCCAUGCCGCGUGCGGGAAGAAGGCCUUCGGGUUGUAAACCGCUUUUGUCGGGGAAGAAAAGGUUCUGGCUAAUACCUGGGACUCAUGACGGUACCUGAAGAAUAAGCACCGGCUAACUACGUG
Molecule: ribosomal RNA, 477 nt
Filed under: uncultured bacterium
Lineage: Bacteria
Description: partial 16S ribosomal RNA
Rfam family: Bacterial small subunit ribosomal RNA
Source: RNAcentral